AGUGAACGCUGGCGGUAGGCCUAACACAUGCCAGUCGAACGGCAGCACAGUAAGAGCUUGCUCUUACGGGUGGCGAGUGGCGGACGGGUGAGGAAUACAUCGGAAUCUACUUUUUCGUGGGGGAUAACGUAGGGAAACUUACGCUAAUACCGCAUACGACCUACGGGUGAAAGCAGGGGAUCUUCGGACCUUGCGCGAUUGAAUGAGCCGAUGUCGGAUUAGCUAGUUGGCGGGGUAAAGGCCCACCAAGGCGACGAUCCGUAGCUGGUCUGAGAGGAUGAUUAGCCACACUGGAACUGAGACACGGUCCAGACUCCUACGGGAGGCAGCAGUGGGGAAUAUUGGACAAUGGGCGAAAGCCUGAUCCAGCAAUACCGCGUGGGUGAAGAAGGCCUUCGGGUUGUAAAGCCAUUUUGUUGGGAAAGAAAAGCAGCAGGUUAAUACCCCGCUGUUCUGACGGUACCCAAAGAAUAAGCACCGGCUAACUUCGUG
This 492-nucleotide ribosomal RNA is filed under the name uncultured bacterium. RNAcentral's name for it is "partial 16S ribosomal RNA". It matches the Rfam family "Bacterial small subunit ribosomal RNA", at positions 29 to 507 of the family's 1533-position model. The record is from RNAcentral.